This 282-nucleotide ribosomal RNA is filed under the name uncultured Lachnospiraceae bacterium. RNAcentral describes it as "partial 16S ribosomal RNA". It matches the Rfam family "Bacterial small subunit ribosomal RNA", at positions 62 to 339 of the family's 1533-position model. The record is from RNAcentral. Lineage: Bacteria; Bacillati; Bacillota; Clostridia; Lachnospirales; Lachnospiraceae.
UUUUGCGGAUUUCUUCGGAUUGAAGCAACUGUGACUGAGCGGCGGACGGGUGAGUAACGCGUGGGUAACCUGCCUCAUACAGGGGGAUAACAGUUGGAAACGGCUGCUAAUACCGCAUAAGACCACGGGACCGCAUGAUGCAGUGUGAAAAACUCCGGUGGUAUAAGAUGGACCCGCGUUGGAUUAGCUAGUUGGUGAGGUAACGGCCCACCAAGGCGACGAUCAGUAGCCGACCUGAGAGGGUGACCGGCCACAUUGGGACUGAGACACGGCCCAAACUCC